Drosophila subobscura is the source of this 1539-nucleotide long non-coding RNA. RefSeq lists it as uncharacterized. The record is from RefSeq and is a predicted model, not a curated record. The transcript has 7 exons. NCBI's taxonomy places the organism in Eukaryota, Metazoa, Arthropoda, Insecta, Diptera, Drosophilidae.
CUCACUUUUCUGGUAUUUAGCUAAAUAAUUCGCAUGCCAGACUGUACGCACCGCAGACCCCGUCGUCUGAAGAUCGCGUUUACUCGUAACUCAGCGGCAAACACGAAAGUGUUCAGUUGUGAUCGGAAUUAUUAAUUAAUAUUCUUGCACCUUCCGAAACUGUGUCGGGAAUCAGGCCAUAAACUAGUGCACAAUCGAUGGGAUGGGAGUACGAUGAGCGAUGGAUGAGUAGGGGACCGACCGCGACCGCGAACGAGGACAGUCCCCAGGUCCAUGUUCACGUCCAUGUCCAAUAUGGCAGGCAGGUCCGCAGCCAUGACCGUGACACAGGAGAAAAAAGCAAGCAAUGAUGGAAGCGGGGAACGGGACGAGUACGUGAAGUGGGGAUAGGAAGAAGGAGUAGCACAAGCAGCAAAAAACAAAAGAAAAAACAAACAGAAGUCAUGAGAUCGACCACAAGAGCUUCUGUUAAAAAGAGCGUCGCCCUAACUGUUAACCACAACAAGUCAAGGGCUUCCUAUACGCGCCCUCACCCCUUUUAAAAAUCUUGCUCUGAAUCAAUAUGAACGAAUUUAAGGUGAUGCCUUUUAAGAAGGCGCUCUCCCAAAAUCAGCAGAUUUCGUUGCAGUUAUGUAUGUAUGUUCAGUCAUAGACAUUCUGAGAGAGAGAGGCGGACACAAUAGGCAUCACCUAAUAUUGUGACAAAAGUGUUAGUGCGCUCCCAAAGCGCACCGCUACAUAGAGAGUAAAAACAGUUAGCAUCGCAGCUAAUAGCGGAGAGAGCGAAAAUCCACACGCCACAGAUGGAAGAGCGGCACUGUUAAGAUGAAGAGAUGGUACGAUGCAAAUGGGCGCUUAAGAGAAAAAACUUUCGCUUGCCGAAUUUGCAUUUUCCGAAUCAAUUGUCAUUGCCAAAGAUGGAGAACCUUCGCAUUUGUCACUGGAAAACGAAGAUGGCUAUCGAACUGAAGCCAAAGGAAUAGUUACAAAAGGGUCGCUGUAAGCUGUUGGACAAUGAACUAUAAUCGAAAUUGAAGUGCUGUUACCCAACGAAAGAUGGUUCGAGACUGCUCCUGUCACAGGACCGCUUCCGUCUUGCCACGCGAAUCGAGCUGCCUCCCCGACGACGGAACGCCCAUUUCAGCUGGUACAGAAGUUUAACAGUGGUUCGUGUCUCGGCUGAGACGAACAAUAGACAGAGACAACCAUGGAGUCGACUGUGAAGACAAUGCUCAGCCAGAGAGGGAUGAACAUAUGGAGAGCUCUGUGCACCAGAAGAGUCACCAAUACAGCUGGUGGAAGUGCAUGCCUGCUGCCAACAAUGCAGCUCGCUGUGUGGAAUGAUGUGAAGCAUUUGUACCUAGCGGCGGCAUCGGCUGCAGGAAAGGAGACUGGCGGACCAGGACCCCUUCAGAUCGUGGAACAUAACGGCGACUAAAUGUAACAAUAGAAAAUAGAUUAAUUGCUGAGCAGCUUUAGACGCCAGCUUGCUCGAUAGUGAUAGCAUUUUUACGAGUGUUUAGUCUUAAUUAAUUAUUA